RNAcentral lists this ribosomal RNA (532 nucleotides) under uncultured Rubrobacter sp. Its description in RNAcentral is "bacterial SSU rRNA". It matches the Rfam family "Bacterial small subunit ribosomal RNA", at positions 588 to 1118 of the family's 1533-position model. Lineage: Bacteria; Bacillati; Actinomycetota; Rubrobacteria; Rubrobacterales; Rubrobacteraceae. The record is from RNAcentral.
UCUGCCGUGAAAACCUGGGGCUCAACCCCGGGCGUGCGGUGGAUACUGCCGGGCUAGAGGGUGGUAGAGGCGAGGUGGAAUUCCCGGUGUAGCGGUGAAAUGCGCAGAUAUCGGGAGGAACACCAGUAGCGAAGGCGGCUCGCUGGGCCAUUCCUGACGCUGAGACGCGAAAGCGUGGGGAGCGAACAGGAUUAGAUACCCUGGUAGUCCACGCCGUAAACGAUGAACACUAGGUGUUGGGGGAGUCGAAUCCCUCGGUGCCGCAGCCAACGCGCUAAGUGUUCCGCCUGGGGAGUACGGCCGCAAGGCUAAAACUCAAAAGAAUUGACGGGGGCCCGCACAAGCAGCGGAGCAUGUUCUUUAAUUCGAUGCAACGCGAAGAACCUUACCUGGGCUUGACAUGGUGCUGCUAGCCGCACGGAAACGUGUGACCUUCGAGGGUGCACCACAGAUGCUGCAUGGCUGUCGUCAGCUCGUGUCGUGAGAUGUUGGGUUAAGUCCCGCAACGAGCGCAACCCCCGUGGUGUGUUGC